GACGAACGCUGGCGGCGUGCUUAACACAUGCAAGUCGAACGAAGUGGCGAACGGGUGAGUAACGCGUAAUCAACCUGCCCUUCAGAGGGGGACAACAGUUGGAAACGACUGCUAAUACCGCAUACUGAAGGAGGGGAUUGCGUCUGAUUAGCGAGUUGGAGGGGUAACGGCCCACCAAGGCGAUGAUCAGUAGCCGGUCUGGGGAGGUGAACCGCCACAUUGGGACUGGGGCACGGCCCAGACCCCUAACGGAGGCAGCAGUGGGGAAUCUUCCGCAAUGGACGAAAGUCUGACGGAGCAACGCCGCGUGAGUUAUGACGGCCUUCGGGUUGUAAAGCUCUGCUAAUCGGGACGCGGUACCGGAAUAGAAAGCCACGGCUAACUACGUGCCAGCCGCCGCGGUAAUAC
This 408-nucleotide ribosomal RNA is filed under the name uncultured bacterium. Its description in RNAcentral is "partial 16S ribosomal RNA". It matches the Rfam family "Bacterial small subunit ribosomal RNA", at positions 28 to 526 of the family's 1533-position model. The record is from RNAcentral.